This 1055-nucleotide long non-coding RNA is filed under the name Monodelphis domestica (gray short-tailed opossum). RNAcentral's name for it is "lncRNA (ENSMODG00000034764.2)". The record is from RNAcentral. Lineage: Eukaryota; Metazoa; Chordata; Mammalia; Didelphimorphia; Didelphidae.
AUGCCGCCCCUUAGAGUAAAGCAGCAUGGCGACACCUUGCCUCCCUCAGCGGCCAUUUUUACAAGAAACAAGCACAGGCUGGACUGGGUUAACCUAGAGCUUAUCAAACCACAUUUCUCUGCAUCCGAGGUCAAAUGGUCCUCCACGCACAAAGAGCUGCUAUUAAAAAUGCCCAGGAAGUUCUGUGCUUCCCGUGAGCUCUCCGUGACAUCUGCGGACAGGAGCCUUCUAUCCGAGCAGACCCGUGGGACCAAGCGCUCUCCAGGGACUCCCCGGAAAAGCCCCAAACCAAAGAGGACGCAGCUCAGCUGCACUUCCGCCACGUUCCGUCCAGCCCCAGAGAGGAUGGCCGGGAUCCUCAAAUUAUCCCUGAGAAUUCUGGGAAGGAGAAAGAGACUGAUUCGUCUGCCUAAGCAAGGAGUCCCCCAGAGAUGGCUGCAUUCUACCAAGCCUCUCUCAGGAGACAGACAGAGGCAGGCCACUAUUCCUGGCCUCUUCUAGAAACUCACACUUUAGGCGAUGCAACCCAAGAGCCCUGGGAGAUCCCACGGAAGAGCAGAGGCAGAAGUCCUGGUCAGGCUGCAGUGAAGCCUCCAUCACGACAUCCCCGUAUCCUCCCAGAGCAACCCCAACGGAUGUGACUGCACUUCAGCGUUGGCUUCUUUGGGAGCUCCUGCAGACAAAGUUGGCGAGAGAACCGGAAUUGCUUGAUUCUCAACAUGUAAGUAAUUAUCAUCCUGCUUUCAGUUCUGUUCAAAGGGAAAGGCACGCCCCUCCUAUUUUAGAAGUGUACACUAUGGACAGCUCAACUCUAUGGGCUAUAGAAAGUUUCUUAUCUUUUAGCCCUACAGAAAACAUCCCUCUUCCAACGCAAGUCUUGCUCUUCACCGAGGCACUCGUUUCACCAUAAAGGAGAUCGGAAACUAAACCAUUUCCCGGGUUUUACAUUGCUUCUCUUAAGCUGAGUUGCCCCACAAUAUUGAGCGCCAGAAAGGGUCCAUUUCUGGACUGGGUUUCCCCUCUCCUAGCACCCACGUCUGUAAAGAAUCAGAAGC